This 659-nucleotide long non-coding RNA is filed under the name Elaeis guineensis (African oil palm). RNAcentral's name for it is "long non-coding RNA (EGUI_LNC014756)". Lineage: Eukaryota; Viridiplantae; Streptophyta; Magnoliopsida; Arecales; Arecaceae. The record is from RNAcentral.
UUGUAAGGUUAUUUUGUAGGGUUUAUAUUCCUAAUGACAAAUAAAGAAUGAGGCUAGUGUAUGAAGAUGACCAGCUUAAAAAAUGAUAAAGCUUGCAUUGAAUACAAGAAAGUAACUUUAUGUUUAUGUUGAGUAUGAAGAACCAAUCAAUAAAUCAGUCAUAGAGAGACAAGGACUAGAAGUCUUGCUAAAAUGAUUGAUGAGAAGAAAAGUCAGGAAGUAGCGACAAGCAAAGAAAUUGGUAAGCAGAUAGUAGGGAGCAAAGGUAGAAAAGUAGUUACUGAGCAAAGUUAGCAAGUGGUGAUAAACAAAAGAAAAGAGAAAGUGCUUGACAAACCUAAGGAUCAAAAGAUUGCUGAGAAAUCUUUCGAGAAUGAAGAGUACACCCUAUAUAGUGACAGUGAAGAGAAAGAGAGUGAUGAUAGCUAUUAUAUAAUUGAUAAACUAUUAUCUGAUAAUAGGGAGUUGAUAGCUACGAGGGACAAACUAAAGGAAGUAAGGGAAUAAGAAAAAUGAUGAUGAGGUGCAGAGGAGGCAACCACCAUCUCAAGAUCAAAUUAUAGGACCAAGCAUUGUUGCUUCUAGUGGAUGAUGUUAAAGAGCAGAUUGGGUACGAUAGUGACUACCAUGAUUCAUCUAAAUUUGAAAUACUUGAAUCG